RNAcentral lists this ribosomal RNA (443 nucleotides) under uncultured bacterium. RNAcentral's name for it is "partial 16S ribosomal RNA". It matches the Rfam family "Bacterial small subunit ribosomal RNA", at positions 338 to 795 of the family's 1533-position model. The record is from RNAcentral.
CCUACGGGAGGCAGCAGUGGGGAAUAUUGGGCAAUGGAGGCAACUCUGACCCAGCAACGCCGCGUGAAUGAUGAAGGUCUUCGGAUUGUAAAGUUCUGUGGUGGGGGAUGAAAACAAUGACGGUAUCCCACUUGCACGCCACGGCUAACUACGUGACAGCAGCCGCGGUACUACGUAGGUGGCAAGCGUUACCCGGCAUGACUGGGCGUAAAGGGUGCGUAGGUGGGUUAGUAAGUUGGCGGUGAAAUACCGGGGCUCAACCUCGGCGCUACCGCGAAAACUAUUAGACUAGAGUGAAGGAGAGGUAAGUGGAAUUCCUGGUGUAGCGGUGGAAUGCGUAGAUAUUAGGAGGAACAUCAGGGGCGAAGGCGACUUACUGGACUGUAACUGACGCUGAGGCACGAAAGCGUGGGGAGCAAACAGGAUUAGAUACCCGGGUAGUC